Molecule: transfer RNA, 72 nt
Filed under: bacterium
Lineage: Bacteria
Description: tRNA-Lys
Rfam family: tRNA
About the family: Transfer RNA (tRNA) molecules are approximately 80 nucleotides in length.
Source: RNAcentral
GGGUCGUUAGUUCAGUGGUAGAACACCGCCCUCUUAAGGCGGGUGUCGCUGGUUCGAGUCCAGCACGACCCA